This 305-nucleotide ribosomal RNA is filed under the name uncultured bacterium. Its description in RNAcentral is "bacterial SSU rRNA". It matches the Rfam family "Bacterial small subunit ribosomal RNA", at positions 335 to 657 of the family's 1533-position model. The record is from RNAcentral.
GUCCUACGGGGGGCAGCAGUGGGGAAUAUUGCACAAUGGGGGAAACCCUGAUGCAGCGACGCCGCGUGAGUGAAGAAGUAUUUCGGUAUGUAAAGCUCUAUCAGCAGGAACGAGACAAGACGGUACCUGACUAAGAAGCCCCGGCUAACUACGUGCCAGCAGCCGCGGUAAUACGUAGGGGGCAAGCGUUAUCCGGAAUCACUGGGUGUAAAGGGAGCGUAGACGGCUGAGCAAGCCUGAAGUGAAAGGCGGGGGCCCAACCCCCGGACCGCUUUGGGAACUGCAGGGCUGGAGUGAAGGUGAGG